CGCCCCUCCGCAGGAGAGAGGGCACCUGCCCCGCCGAAGGCGCAAACUCCCAUAAACGCUCAGGCACAUGUACUGCGGGCUUCAU
RNAcentral lists this non-coding RNA (85 nucleotides) under Marinobacter excellens. Its description in RNAcentral is "Glycine sequence". It matches the Rfam family "Glycine riboswitch aptamer". Rfam says of the family: This family represents the bacterial glycine riboswitch. Glycine riboswitches usually consist of two metabolite-binding aptamers domains with similar structures in tandem. The aptamers cooperatively bind glycine to regulate the expression of downstream genes. The record is from RNAcentral. Lineage: Bacteria; Pseudomonadati; Pseudomonadota; Gammaproteobacteria; Pseudomonadales; Marinobacteraceae.